RNAcentral lists this ribosomal RNA (499 nucleotides) under uncultured Glomeromycotina. RNAcentral describes it as "partial small subunit ribosomal RNA". It matches the Rfam family "Eukaryotic small subunit ribosomal RNA", at positions 591 to 1092 of the family's 1831-position model. The record is from RNAcentral. Lineage: Eukaryota; Fungi; Glomeromycota.
CCAAUAGCGUAUAUUAAAGUUGUUGCAGUUAAAAAGCUCGUAGUUGAAUUUCGGGAUCAGAUUGUCGGUCGUGCCUCGGUACGCACUGGCAUUAUUGGUUCCUACCUUCUGAAGAACCGCGAUGUCAUUAAUUUGGUGUCGUGGGGAAUCAGGACUGUUACUUUGAAAAAAUUAGAGUGUUUAAAGCAGGCGCACGCUUGAAUACAUUAGCAUGGAAUAAUGAAAUAGGACGUUUGAUUCUAUUUUGUUGGUUUCUAGGAUCAACGUAAUGAUUAACAGGGAUAGUUGGGGGCAUUAGUAUUCAAUUGUCAGAGGUGAAAUUCUUGGAUUUAUUGAAGACUAACUACUGCGAAAGCAUUUGCCAAGGAUGUUUUCAUUAAUCAAGAACGAAAGUUAGGGGAUCGAAGACGAUCAGAUACCGUCGUAGUCUUAACCAUAAACUAUGCCGACUAGGGAUCGGAUGAUGUUGAUUUUUUAAUGACUCAUUCGGCGCCUUACG